GGGUUGUGAGGUUAAGCGACUAAGCGUACACGGUGGAUGCCCUGGCAGUCAGAGGCGAUGAAGGACGUGCUAAUCUGCGAAAAGCGUCGGUAAGGUGAUAUGAACCGUUAUAGCCGGCGAUGUCCGAAUGGGGAAACCCAGUGUGAUUCGUCACACUAUCGUUAACUGAAUACAUAGGUUAACGAGGCGAACCGGGGGAACUGAAACAUCUAAGUACCCCGAGGAAAAGAAAUCAACCGAGAUUCCCCCAGUAGCGGCGAGCGAACGGGGAGCAGCCCAGAGUCUGAAUCAGCUUGUGUGUUAGUGGAACGGUCUGGAAAGUCCGACGGUACAGGGUGAUAGUCCCGUACACCAAAAUGCACAGGUUGUGAACUCGAAGAGUAGGGCGGGACACGUGGUAUCCUGUCUGAAUAUGGGGGGACCAUCCUCCAAGGCUAAAUACUCCUGACUGACCGAUAGUGAACCAGUACCGUGAGGGAAAGGCGAAAAGAACCCCGGCGAGGGGAGUGAAAAAGAACCUGAAACCGUGUACGUACAAGCAGUGGGAGCACCUUCGGGUGUGACUGCGUACCUUUUGUAUAAUGGGUCAGCGACUUAUAUUCUGUAGCAAGGUUAACCGUAUAGGGGAGCCGCAGGGAAACCGAGUCUUAACUGGGCGUUAAGUUGCAGGGUAUAGACCCGAAACCCGGUGAUCUAGCCAUGGGCAGGUUGAAGGUUGGGUAACACUAACUGGAGGACCGAACCGACUAAUGUUGAAAAAUUAGCGGAUGACUUGUGGCUGGGGGUGAAAGGCCAAUCAAACCGGGAGAUAGCUGGUUCUCCCCGAAAGCUAUUUAGGUAGCGCCUCGUGAAUUCAUCUUCGGGGGUAGAGCACUGUUUCGGCUAGGGGGUCAUCCCGACUUACCAACCCGAUGCAAACUACGAAUACCGAAGAAUGUUAUCACGGGAGACACACGGCGGGUGCUAACGUCCGUCGUGAAGAGGGAAACAACCCAGACCGCCAGCUAAGGUCCCAAAGUCAUGGUUAAGUGGGAAACGAUGUGGGAAGGCACAGACAGCCAGGAUGUUGGCUUAGAAGCAGCCAUCAUUUAAAGAAAGCGUAAUAGCUCACUGGUCGAGUCGGCCUGCGCGGAAGAUGUAACGGGGCUAAACCAUGCACCGAAGCUGCGGCAGCGACACUAUGUGUUGUUGGGUAGGGGAGCGUUCUGUAAGCCUGCGAAGGUGUGCUGUGAGGCAUGCUGGAGGUAUCAGAAGUGCGAAUGCUGACAUAAGUAACGAUAAAGCGGGUGAAAAGCCCGCUCGCCGGAAGACCAAGGGUUCCUGUCCAACGUUAAUCGGGGCAGGGUGAGUCGACCCCUAAGGCGAGGCCGAAAGGCGUAGUCGAUGGGAAACAGGUUAAUAUUCCUGUACUUGGUGUUACUGCGAAGGGGGGACGGAGAAGGCUAUGUUAGCCGGGCGACGGUUGUCCCGGUUUAAGCAUGUAGGCUGGUUGUCCAGGCAAAUCCGGAUAAUCAAGGCUGAGGUGUGAUGACGAGGCACUACGGUGCUGAAGUAACAAAUGCCCUGCUUCCAGGAAAAGCCUCUAAGCAUCAGGUAACAUCAAAUCGUACCCCAAACCGACACAGGUGGUCAGGUAGAGAAUACCAAGGCGCUUGAGAGAACUCGGGUGAAGGAACUAGGCAAAAUGGUGCCGUAACUUCGGGAGAAGGCACGCUGGUGUGUAGGUGAAGUCCCUGCGGAUGGAGCUGAGACCAGUCGAAGAUACCAGCUGGCUGCAACUGUUUAUUAAAAACACAGCACUGUGCAAACACGAAAGUGGACGUAUACGGUGUGACGCCUGCCCGGUGCCGGAAGGUUAAUUGAUGGGGUUAUCCGUAAGGAGAAGCUCUUGAUCGAAGCCCCGGUAAACGGCGGCCGUAACUAUAACGGUCCUAAGGUAGCGAAAUUCCUUGUCGGGUAAGUUCCGACCUGCACGAAUGGCGUAAUGAUGGCCAGGCUGUCUCCACCCGAGACUCAGUGAAAUUGAACUCGCUGUGAAGAUGCAGUGUACCCGCGGCAAGACGGAAAGACCCCGUGAACCUUUACUAUAGCUUGACACUGAACAUUGAGCCUUGAUGUGUAGGAUAGGUGGGAGGCUUUGAAGCGUGGACGCCAGUCUGCGUGGAGCCAACCUUGAAAUACCACCCUUUAAUGUUUGAUGUUCUAACGUUGGCCCCUGACCGGGGUUGCGGACAGUGUCUGGUGGGUAGUUUGACUGGGGCGGUCUCCUCCCAAAGCGUAACGGAGGAGCACGAAGGUUAGCUAAUCCUGGUCGGACAUCAGGAGGUUAGUGCAAUGGCAUAAGCUAGCUUGACUGCGAGCGUGACGGCGCGAGCAGGUGCGAAAGCAGGUCAUAGUGAUCCGGUGGUUCUGAAUGGAAGGGCCAUCGCUCAACGGAUAAAAGGUACUCCGGGGAUAACAGGCUGAUACCGCCCAAGAGUUCAUAUCGACGGCGGUGUUUGGCACCUCGAUGUCGGCUCAUCACAUCCUGGGGCUGAAGUAGGUCCCAAGGGUAUGGCUGUUCGCCAUUUAAAGUGGUACGCGAGCUGGGUUUAGAACGUCGUGAGACAGUUCGGUCCCUAUCUGCCGUGGGCGCUGGAGAAUUGAGGGGGGCUGCUCCUAGUACGAGAGGACCGGAGUGGACGCAUCACUGGUGUUCGGGUUGUCAUGCCAAUGGCACUGCCCGGUAGCUAAAUGCGGAAGAGAUAAGUGCUGAAAGCAUCUAAGCACGAAACUUGCCCCGAGAUGAGUUCUCCCUGAGACUUUAAGUCUCCUGAAGGAACGUUGAAGACGACGACGUUGAUAGGCCGGGUGUGUAAGCGCAGCGAUGCGUUGAGCUAACCGGUACUAAUGAACCGUGAGGCUUAACCUUACAACGCCGAAG
This 2923-nucleotide ribosomal RNA is filed under the name Klebsiella pneumoniae. RNAcentral's name for it is "23S ribosomal RNA". It matches the Rfam family "Bacterial large subunit ribosomal RNA". The record is from RNAcentral. Lineage: Bacteria; Pseudomonadati; Pseudomonadota; Gammaproteobacteria; Enterobacterales; Enterobacteriaceae.